Molecule: long non-coding RNA, 4509 nt
Filed under: Dicentrarchus labrax (European seabass)
Lineage: Eukaryota; Metazoa; Chordata; Actinopteri; Moronidae
Description: lncRNA (ENSDLAG00005030389.1)
Source: RNAcentral
AUGUCAGGCCGUUACCCCAGCUGCCGCGUGCCGUGUCCCAACCUCCUGCUCAACAUGCCCCUGUUGCCACCCGUACCUGCCGGCCUUUACAACGACGGCCUCUUUGGACCUUUAAUGUUCCCCCACUUUCACCUGGGUGCGUUGCAUUACCCUCCUCCACCAGAGGCUGCUGCUGAUCGGGGACCGGUCUUCUUCACCCUCCAACCACCCCCGCUCCCAGAGCCCCUGCAGGAGGAGCAGAUGCACCCACAGCCUCCUCUUUUCACUAAAGAUACUUAACUAAUUAUCUCCUUCAUUAAUGAUGCUGUUUGCAAUCUGUUGUUUUGUAUUUAGAUUGAUUUAUUAUUCUUUUUGCGCAAUCAGCUUUCAAUUAGCAAAAUAUUUUUGUUUAGUUCACAUUUUUUAUACCAUUGAUACCAGAAUGUACUGUUUGUUUAUAAAGAAAAAUAAAAGUUUGUUGGGUUUAUCUUUUCAUAUCUUUCCCUUUUUGCUUUUAUUUCAACAUAUUAAUGAUGCUAUUAGGCAUUUAUUCAGUUUUUCACAAUAAAAUUACACUAGCUUGUUCCAAUCUUUAAUGUAAUUUUGUUUUUAUUUUAGUUUCAUAAUUUCUUGGGGGAUUUUUCCAUUGGCAAUUCAAAUAUUUUUGAUUAUUCAACAACUGAACUAAUAUUUCAUAUCUAAUCUUAUUAGUAGUAGCUAAUAACUCUUUUAAGGAGCAUUAUUAGGCAGUCUCAUUGCUCUAGUGAUUGCUAACACUGAAAUGACAUUUAAAAUAUUUCACAUAUUAAACUUAAAACUAUAACAAACCUCUAUAAACUCUUUUAUAGUUGGCGUUGGUGUUUGAUGGUGGUAAACGAACAUCAGUGGAACUCAAAAAGACUCUCACCUCGCAGGUUGAUGGACAACAAAAGUAGUUUUACAGGUGCAGCAGAGGUAAUAACCAACCUGACCCCCCCCUCUGCCAUCCAUACCUGUGGUCUCUACCAACUCUACAGAGUGUAACAGCUUUAAAACACAUAUCUACAAUUAAAUCUUACAACUAUUUACAUUAUACACAAUACACACGUCUAGUGAGUAAUAUAGAUUAAACUAAAUGUAUAAUACACUGAAUAAAUACCAAAACGAAAGUCAAACUCCUCCACCCACUCCCCUCUCUUCACCUCACUACUUGGUUCAGCCCAACCAGGUGACAUCAGCUGAGACCUCAAAGAGACAGAGGUUAGUAGGGAUUUCAAAAUAAAAGCAUAACAAAAAAAUGAACUUCCUGUAUUAGUUUUGUGCAUCUUAACACAGUCAAUGUGCGUGUGUGUGUGUUUCUCUUUCAGCCUUAGUCUCCAUCCCUUUGAGAUACUAUUGAUUAAUUGAUUAUGAUAAGUUUAUCUUGCAAGAGUAAAAUAAGAUGAUUUCAGUUAUAAUAUUUAUAUUUAAUAAACUAACUUCUGAAAGUAAAAACUCACUUCUGGCACUGCCUUUUCAUAAUCUCACUGUUUUUAUAUAUCUCUAUCCCUUUUGGUAUGUACUUAUGUAUUAUAUUACAUUGUUCUUGUAGGACUUGUUACUGCAUUGAUGACAUUAGGCAAUAAUUUGUUAUAACCUGCCCAGGGACUAUGAUUGAUAAUUAGCUUUUUAGCAAACUAACAAAGAAUCCCUUAAAAAUAUGCAUGUAAUCCAUUAAAAUACCUCAAAAUACCACAGUUACAAAAUUAUUAAUGAGCCAGUUAAUGAAAUCAUGAAUAAGGGGAUGGUGUUCAUUGGGUUUGUUCAUUUUAAAGGGGAAUUACAUAUUAAGAAUCCCCUUAACACAUGCCUAUAAUCCCUUAAAAUACUUUAAAACACCCCAUAGUUAAGUGACUUCUCAUCUACAUUAUUUUCUUUAUACAUUUCCCACUUUCCCUCCUGGUCUGCUUCCACUCAUUCUCUUUCACUCAUGUUUUUCUGAGGUCGACGCUAUGAGGUACAUUUUGUAAUAAUGUCCACCAGAGGGAGCAGGCCUCCUGUUACAUCUGAAACAUGAACUUAAAGUAGCUCAGGUUUCUGUUUUUGUUUAUUUUGUUCAGUUCCUGAUUAUCACAUUGCAUAACUACACUGUUUGUGGGAGGGUAAAGGAGCAUUUACUUAAAAUAUUUAGGAUAAGCAUCAAAUCUCCACUGAUAUUAAAACAGGAAGAAACCCAUCAACCCAUUAAACUCCUACUGUUAUAUAAAUAAACUAUAUUUACUCCACUACUUUUAUUUACUGAUGAGCUACUUUACAGAUUAAGAUUUUUACAUUAAGAAAAUAGAUGAUAAACUAAUAUAAAAUACAACACAUUGUUAUAUAUCAACACAGUGGUUCCUGAACUGUUUUUGCUUGUGACCAUGAGUUGUACAUUUCCAGUCUGAACUCCUCAAAUAGUUUAAUUUAAAUAAACGUCUGAGGCUGUAUUAAGUAAAACUCUUAUGUAUUUAACACACACACACACACACACACACACACACACACACACACACACACACACACACACACACACACACACACACACACACACACACACACACACACAACAAAUCACCCCUCAGAUUUAUCUUGAAGGGGACCCCGACCCCGAGGUGGAUGAAACUACGUACUACAGCAGCAGAUGCAUCAAUAUUAACAAUCUAAUCAUAAAUAUAUCUGAUAUAUCUCUCACAGAGGCCAAUUCUCUGCAGAACAAGUACUUUUACUUCUGAUUUUGAAUGCAGGACUUUUACUUAAUACUUCUUCCACAGUUGUUAAUCACAUCACACCUAAAUGUAGAGCAGGUGACACAUCGCUCCACAUAUAUUGAACCGAAGUCCGUUGCUGGUUUCUGAUAUUUGUCACCAGAGUGUUGAAGCUUUAUGAAGAAUUCCAGUAACAGUGCGACACCGCAGCCCCGCUGGCUAUCUCCAUGCUGGGGCGAUUUCCAUCACACUGACUAAUGUUGGCAGCAGCAACUACAAGGAGUUCACUAAGAAGUGUGGAUUAUGUGUGUGUGUGUGUGUGUGUGUGUUGUGUUUGUGUGUUUGUGUGUGUGUUUGUGUGUACCUCCCAAUUCCUGAGAAUACUUAAACCAGAUGAAUCACUUCAGCUUUUUUCCUCUUUCUUUAUUUUGUCUUUCUCGUUCCUUCUUACACGCCUGAUAGUGAAUGUCACCGCUUCCUGGAAUCAUCAUCCGUCUGAAGGAACAAACUAACAAAGGCAACAGUGCAUGUAGAGUACCUAGCAGCUCUGGGCUUUGAGCUACAUGCUAUCAGUGUGCUUACAUGCAAGUGAGCAUUAAACAGACGUAUUAACCUAAUUACAGUUCAUCCUGAGGGGAAACAUGAACGUCUGCAUCAGAUUUAAUGGCAAUCCAACCAAUAGUUGCUGAGAUAUUUCACUCCAGAACCACGAAUGUCGACCUCACACAGGUGCUAAAGUCAGAGUAUUACCAAAGGAUAAUUAGUAUAUGAGUGGCUGGGUGCCGCUCCGCCACAUGUUUAUGAUGCAAUGCAAACAUUUUCCAGUUGCUGCUGUUUGAAAUGUUGCUGACUGAGUUACAGACAGUCAGCUUCUCUAAAUCUGGCUAACUUUAGCUGUGUUUCCUGUGUGUCACCUCUCUCUACACACAGAGAUUUCUGGAGGAUAAAUCACUGGGAUUCACCCACUGGACACCAUCAAUGUUUGUCAGUCCAUCCUGUAGCUUUUGAGUUAUUUUAGUCUGAACCAAAGUGGUCGACAGACGGACAGACGGACUGACACUGACAUUCACAGAGCUGCUAGUGUGCCAAAAAACACAACAACAACAUACCUUGCUAAAACAUAUGAUGGACAAAUCAAUUCUGUUAAACGUUACAGUUACAGAUACAAUGAAGGCCUUUAUAAGUCUAACAAAAUGUUCUUUUUCAGCUAUAAUUACACUCAAGAAUUAUCUGAACUCUGAACUUGCAAAACAGUUUCUGAGCAGCAAGUGAUCACAUGAUUGAUCUAUGUUCAGAGCAGGAGCAGCCAAUCAGAGACAAUUAUUCAUCCUAAAGAAAUCCUUACAUUUUACUCUUAUUCUGUCAUUUUAAUUCAUAAAAAGCUGAUUUUUAAAAUAUCUGCAGUAUCAAUUAACAUAUUUAUAAUUAAUAAAAAUAGUGAUGGCAUAAUAGGAAAUUGAAAAAAGAACUAAACUGAAAAAAAACCCCAUUGUUCUCCCAGUAGACAGACGUACUUCAGUAUACUGUGUUUGCUCACCUCUGGCUCUGAACAGGGGUCUCACACACAGGAGGGCCACUUCAAGGUUCAAGCACUGCAAAGAAAGUAGAAUAUAGUGAAAAUAUUUCCAUUAAUAACAUCAUACUUAACAAAAACAAAAUGCAAACAAAAGUUUCUAUCGAUUUUUAUAUCAUCUUUGUUGUUCGCAGCCAAACAACAAAUAAAGUCCUGAAACCAGCUCUCUUCUUAUUAACUGUUUGCAGACCUGACAUUUGUGUUUUAAUUUGAACUGUAUAUGAAGGGGGAGUUUUAACUAAUAUGAAAUCUUGC